CUGCGAUAAGCGCCGGUAAGGUGAUAUGAACCGUUAUAACCGGCGAUUUCCGAAUGGGGAAACCCAGUGUGACUCGUCACACUAUCAUUAACUGAAUCCAUAGGUUAAUGAGGCGAACCGGGGGAACUGAAACAUCUAAGUACCCCGAGGAAAAGAAAUCAACCGAGAUUCCCCCAGUAGCGGCGAGCGAACGGGGAGGAGCCCAGAGCCUGAAUCAGCAUGUGUGUUAGUGGAAGCGUCUGGAAAGGCGCGCGAUACAGGGUGACAGCCCCGUACACAAAAGCGCAUGUGCUGUGAGCUCGAUGAGUAGGGCGGGACACGUGGUAUCCUGUCUGAAUAUGGGGGGACCAUCCUCCAAGGCUAAAUACUCCUGACUGACCGAUAGUGAACCAGUACCGUGAGGGAAAGGCGAAAAGAACCCCGGCGAGGGGAGUGAAAAAGAACCUGAAACCGUGUACGUACAAGCAGUGGGAGCCCCACCACUAAGCCAGUGGUGAACUCCACAUACGCAUCCUUUGCUGAGGAUACGGUUAACGGAGCGAAAGCGACGUUCAACCUCAAAAGAAGCAGAGGGGGCUUAGUGGUGGGGUGACUGCGUACCUUUUGUAUAAUGGGUCAGCGACUUAUAUUCUGUAGCAAGGUUAACCGAAUAGGGGAGCCGGAGGGAAACCGAGUCUUAAUUGGGCGUUAAGUUGCAGGGUAUAGACCCGAAACCCGGUGAUCUAGCCAUGGGCAGGUUGAAGGUUGGGUAACACUAACUGGAGGACCGAACCGACUAAUGUUGAAAAAUUAGCGGAUGACCUGUGGCUGGGGGUGAAAGGCCAAUCAAACCGGGAGAUAGCUGGUUCUCCCCGAAAGCUAUUUAGGUAGCGCCUCGUGAAUUCAUCUCCGGGGGUAGAGCACUGUUUCGGCUAGGGGGCCAUCCCGGCUUACCAACCCGAUGCAAACUGCGAAUACCGGAGAAUGUUAUCACGGGAGACACACGGCGGGUGCUAACGUCCGUCGUGAAGAGGGAAACAACCCAGACCGCCAGCUAAGGUCCCAAAGUCAUGGUUAAGUGGGAAACGAUGUGGGAAGGCCCAGACAGCCAGGAUGUUGGCUUAGAAGCAGCCAUCAUUUAAAGAAAGCGUAAUAGCUCACUGGUCGAGUCGGCCUGCGCGGAAGAUGUAACGGGGCUAAACCAU
RNAcentral lists this ribosomal RNA (1184 nucleotides) under Salmonella enterica subsp. enterica serovar Give. Its description in RNAcentral is "partial 23S ribosomal RNA". It matches the Rfam family "Bacterial large subunit ribosomal RNA", at positions 66 to 1190 of the family's 2925-position model. Lineage: Bacteria; Pseudomonadati; Pseudomonadota; Gammaproteobacteria; Enterobacterales; Enterobacteriaceae. The record is from RNAcentral.